Molecule: long non-coding RNA, 4809 nt
Organism: Ictalurus punctatus (channel catfish)
Lineage: Eukaryota; Metazoa; Chordata; Actinopteri; Siluriformes; Ictaluridae
Source: Ensembl
GGGAAAUUCCACUUCUGCCAUGUGUACGCAAUGGUUUUGAUAACAGUAAAUGGACAUUAACCUUGCCAUAAACAUGUUAUCUGAGUAGCUUAGAGGAACCUUCAUAUGCCAGUCAUACUCUUUGUAUGUCUUGCUUAGUAGCUACUUCACAUGUUCACUUGUAUCUAGAGAUGUAUGGAUGAUCGCACCGGUUUCAAAUCACAGCAUUCUCCCACUACAGAAAUUCAUGAGCUUAGCAGCAUGGGAUAAAGUACACUGAGUCAGCAGCGGUGAAAGUAUUUAAGGGCUGGGUGCAUCAGACAAACUUACAGAUGAACUUCCUGAAAUAAGAGAGAAGACUCCUACUAUCCCCUAAGAGAUUCUGAGUUAAGAUGAAACCCCAAGUUAUAAUCUUUAUUUACUUAGGAGGACUCAUAUUACACUUCGUGAAAUGUUACAGCAGUGGCAAUUUUGACGCUUAUCCAGCUAUAUGUCAGACAAUGGAAGUUGUUCACAGCACCUAUCUACCUCAGAACACUGAACCACCUUUUAAAGUUAUCCCAGAUAUGAUCAGAGUUAAUUCUUCAGAUGUGGGAAAAUCCUUUAAUGUAACACUGAAAGCUGAUGGCUAUGAAUCAUUCCGUGGUUUUUUGUUGAAAGCACAAAAACCAGACAAAACAACACCUCAGGGGAUUUUUUCUUUGGUGGAUACAAGCUUAAGCAGACUUCAGACAUGUAAUGGUAUGAAGGAUACAGCUGUAACGCAAACAAAUAACCGAAAAAAGGCUGAAAUAAUGGUCAAAUGGAAUGUUUCUGAAACCGGAGAUUAUUUUUUCAGGGCUACAUUCGUUAAGACAUAUGAAAUAUUCUGGAUCAUAAGAAAUCUCUUCUUCAAUCACGACACCAUCCUUUACAACAGACCUUGUAACAUCAGACCCUGUAACAUCAGACCUUGUAACACCAGGCCCAGUAACACCAGAUCCUGUAACACCAGACCCUGUAACACCAGACCCUGUAACAACAACCACCAUAACAAUAUCAACAUCAGCAAAAUUAUCCUCAGUCACCAAAACUGAUCCACCGCACAAAUAUUUGGUUGAAUCAUCGCUAACUCUACAUUUGCUCAGUUAUCUUUGUCUUGCUGUGUGUGGUCCUUUCCUAGCGAAAGCCUGUGUAUGUGUUUGGACAAAGGUGACAUCAUUUCUGUCUUUGGCAUUUUCAUUGGCUGCUUUCAUCCUCUUACUGAUAGACAACAAACAAGUUGAGGCUGAAAUUCUGGCAGGAGUAGCAGCAGGCCUCAACUUGUGUCAAACCAUUCUAAUAUUCUUUCUCUGUGGACCGUGCCAUGAAUUAAGAAAGAUUUUCUACUGGGGGCUCAGAUUGGUUGCAUUCAUAAACGUUUGUUUUACAAUUGCUACAAUAUAUGUUGGUCUUGUGGAGCACUGCUCCAAACCACGCCGCUUCUGGCCCGUCAUAUUGAUGGGAGUUUAUUUAGCAUGCCAAUUGCUGUCAUGUCCCUUUUUUAUAUAUGGGGAACUAAAAGAAAAGCAGCAACGACAAACUACAUCAAGCAAUCAGAAUUGCAGGGUUUCUUGCUGGUGUACGUGUUUGGUCAUUUUUACUGGGAUGAAUUUAGCAUUUACUGUAGCACUGGUAUUAGGAAUAUUUUUAUCAUUGUAUGUUUGAUACCUAAAGAAACAAAAGCCUUGAUAUUUUCAUUAUGUGAUGAUGUUUUACUUAUAUUUAACUUUUCUACAUCAAUAAUUUCAAGCAGUCCAUGUAAUAUGUAUAUACUGUAUGUUGGCUUUCUGAUAUUUGGUUCUGAAUGUUUCUUUUCACUACGUAUAUCAUAUAUUCCUGUAACCAAUGCUUAUGAUCAAUGUAGAAUUUGUAUUUGUAGAGAAAUGUCUAUAUUUAUUGUGAAAAGAGGAAACCUACAAUCCCCUCUGAAAUUAUUGAAAUGGCAAAGCCAAUUUUAUACACUGAAGAUAAUUUUAUACACCAAUAUAAUUUCCUGAUAUGUACAUCUAGAUGUGUUAAACAAUUUAAGCACCUUCAAUAUUGGAACAUGUGACUGAUAGGAGUUUCUUCUUGCCCAUAUGUGUCCUGUUAAAUUGAUUGUUAAAACAGUUAAUAGCUCUUAAUGUCUACUCUUGGUUUGAUCCCUGGGUUUUUCCUGUGAAGACCGCAUUUGUUGUUAAAAAGUAUAAACCAACAUGAAGACAAGAAAGCUGUCUAUGGGAGAAAAGAAAGCCAUUUUGAAACUGUGAAAAGAGGAAAAAAUCUAUCAGAGCCAUUUCAGAAGCAUUGGGUAUAGCCAAUAUAGCAAUUUGGAGUGUCCUGAAAAUGAAAAAAAUAUCCCUGAUGUACAGUGUAACAACCAGAGAUCAAACAGUUUGCCAAGGAAAACAGCAGCAGUUGUUGACAGAAUAAUUGUGAGAGCUGUAAAGAAGAACCCCAAAACAGCAGUCAGUGACAUCACAAACAACCUCCACAGGGCAGAAGUGACGGUAGCACAAUCCACCGUUUGAAGAAGACUUUGAGAGCAGAAAUAUAGAGGCCAUACCAGAAGAUGCAAACCACUCAUCAGCAGUAAGAAUCGGAAAGCCAGAUUGGAAUUUGCAAAGAAAUACAGAGAUGAGUCACAAAUGUUAACCUCAACCAAAGUGAUGGAAAGGCCAAAGUAUGGAGAAAGAAAGGUUCUGCUCAUGCUCCAAAACAUACAAGCUCAUCUGUCAAACAUGGCGGAGGUAGUGUCAUGGCUUGGGCUUGCAUGGCUGCUUCUGGUACAGACCCACUAAUAUUUAUUGAUGAUGUAACUCAUGAUGGAAGCAGCAGAAUGAAUUCAGAAGUUUACAGGAACAUUUUGUCUGCCAAUUUGUAGAGCAAUGCAUCCAAUCUAAUUUGGAGGAACUUCAUCAGGCAGUGACAAUGACCCAAAACACACUGCCAACUCCACAAAGUACUUUAUCAAGGGGAAAAAGUGAAAGGUUUUAUACUGGACAACUCAAUCACCAGAACAUAACCCAAUUGAGCAUACAUUUGACCUCCUGAAGAGGACACUGAAAGGAGAAACCCCCCCAAAACAAAUAACAACUGAAAGAAGCUGGGGUAAAAGCCUGGAAAAGCAUCACACAAGAAGAAUGCAACAGUUUGGUGAUGUCAGUGGGUCGCCAACUUGAUGCAGUUAAUGCAAGCAAGGGAUAUGCAACCAAAUAUUAAGUAUUAUUUACUUUACUUUAAAUAUGUUUGAAUUGAUCUGUUCCAAUACUGUAGCUCACUUAAAAAAUGGGUGGCCUGCAAUCAAAGGUGGCAUUUUCUAUGUUGUUUAGCACAUCUAUUUGUAAAUAUUAUGACAUACAACCUGAAAUUCUGAUCUAUUGUCUCAUAUUCAUCUGCUGAUCUCAAACCCAAAUGCCUUUAGUGUAUAGAUUGGCCUUGCCUUUCCAAUACUUUUGGAGGGGACUGUAAAUCCCUUAGCAUUCACAACCAUUUGUCCAGUAAACUGGAGAGGCUUCACCAAUUUUUAAUUGUGUUGGUGUCAUUAGGGAAGUUUAAACAGAUAACAGCAAACACUCCUGACAUCUAAUUUAUGAGGAUGGCCUUAAAUAAUAUUUGACAUGAGCCUUUCUUUUAAAAACUCUUAUCAACAAAGCGUGAUAACAUUUUAUUGAUCCUGACCAAAUUACACUGUUCUCUGCACUCAGUCAUGUUGAUGCAUGAUAUUUACAGUUCACUUCACUCUCAGCAAAUGUACAAUAGUGCACUUCAGAUAACUUGUACAGAGCAUACAUUAGUCAUUGGGUGUGACCAUAUUCCUGAUUCCCAUUCCUCUCAUGUGAUAUUUCUCUUUCAGCUGGGAUGAUAUUAGUUUGUUCUGCAAUAAUGUCACACUGCAUAAUUUUAUUGUGCAGGACAUAAAAAUGUAUUUCUUCAAUACACUGGUUUCAAAAUGAUCAGCAGCCCUACAAUUAAUAUAUUGUGAUCACUGCCCUGUCUUCCUGUAAUGUUUAACAAGGUUUGAGAAACUUGUAGAAGGAAUCUUUAUUCAGCUUUAUUUUAAGCUUCUUUACAGUUUUUUUCAUGUGGAAUUUCCUCUUCAAGUCAGACCACAGUAUUUCAAUAGAUUUUACAUCUGGAGACUGAGAUGAUUUUGUUUCUUUAAAAAUUUACAUUGAUUUGAAAGAAUACUUGUUCAUCGUUUUUGUGAAAGUGGCCACGUCACCUCUAUCUAUAGCCUAGUCUAGACUUCCUGGCAGAGGUAACAAGGUUUUGGGCUGAAAUACCAUAGUAGUACUCAUGAUGGCAAGCAACAGUCUUCACAAGAGCCCCUGAACCACCAACCACAAAAAAACCACAAGACUUCAGUCAUCCACCGCCAUAUUUUACACUGGGAUAUCAGGUGCUUCUUCUUGUAUGCUAUCCCCUUUAGUCUCCAAACACGCUGAUAAUGUUUAUGACCAAAAUGUUUAAUGAGAUGUAUAUUAAUAAUUUUGGCACAUAUUUGUGAGAGAACAUGCUAUUGUUAAUAAAACUAACUCAACUGAGUUUUUUUUCUUUUUAUUUGAAUUAUUGUGUAAUGGGCACUGCACUGCAUAAACGAUGUAUCUUAUCUUAUGUCUUUCGGAAGUAAUUGGUAUUACGGGUCCUUUGGUUAAAUUUUUAACAUCCAGAUCCAGUAGGUUUAUUGCACAUACAAUCAGAUUUUGAUUGUAUGUGCAACAAACCUACAACCUCAGAUUUUUAGCAAUCAUUGUACAACUGCACAAUCCCAAUGGUACUCUCUUAGAAAGUCAGUAAAAUAUCUUAAAUCACAAAUAAGUGAAUAUU